CAAAGGCAAAGACAUGGGUUAACUGGCUCCUGCAGGAAGCCUGGUUUCAUUCAUUAACAGAGACAUACGGGAGAACGGCUUGAGACACUUCUGAGCACAAGUUCACAGAGAGCUGAUCUCCUGUUUCCCAUCACAGCUGUAUCAAAGGGAUUGAGACAGGAAGAAUAAGAGGGAAAGAAGAAGAAAUGACAAAGUACCUCGCCGUAGAGCUGAGUCGAGCUGCUAAAUUCAUCACAGAGCUGCAAACAGCGUGUCUCCCUGGGAUAAAAUGAACUGACAACCUGCCCUAAAGAUCAGCCAGUUAAAACACAUUGAAACGCCAGUGCCACCGGCGGACACGGAUGGCUGGAGAGCUCGGGAGAGAGCAUCACGGUCGCUCGACGCUCCUCCGCGCGGCCACUUCCUUGGCGUCCGGGAAUCGCACCUUACGGCUACACGUCGGCGCCGGAUUCACCGCCUUGCAGACGAGGAACCCCCCUCUCCUUCCUCCCCGCCUCAGCCCCCG
This is a long non-coding RNA of Lepidothrix coronata (blue-crowned manakin), 505 nucleotides long. RefSeq lists it as uncharacterized. The transcript has 3 exons. The record is from RefSeq and is a predicted model, not a curated record. NCBI's taxonomy places the organism in Eukaryota, Metazoa, Chordata, Aves, Passeriformes, Pipridae.